AUACUUAUUUGGCCGGGAAGAUACCAUGAUAAUGAAAGUUGUUUCCCCAUGGUGAGGCUUAUUCAUUGCACUCCAGAUGUGCUGACCCCUGUGACUUCUCCAAAUGUGGAAAGCUCAACAGUAUAGUUUGAGGGUAGUGGGAGACUGCAUUUGCAGUCUUCAC
Suncus etruscus (white-toothed pygmy shrew) is the source of this 163-nucleotide small nuclear RNA. RefSeq annotates it as U1 spliceosomal RNA. The record is from RefSeq and is a predicted model, not a curated record. Lineage: Eukaryota; Metazoa; Chordata; Mammalia; Eulipotyphla; Soricidae. The transcript has a single exon.